This 253-nucleotide ribosomal RNA is filed under the name uncultured bacterium. RNAcentral's name for it is "partial 16S ribosomal RNA". It matches the Rfam family "Bacterial small subunit ribosomal RNA", at positions 524 to 776 of the family's 1533-position model. The record is from RNAcentral.
AACGUAGGAGGCAAGCGUUAUCCGGAGUUACUGGGCGUAAAGCGUGCGUAGGCGGAUGGGUAAGUGGGUGGUGAAAGCGCCGGGCUAAACCGGGCGAGGUCCAUUCAGACUGCCUAUCUAGAGGCGGAUAGAGGGGUGCGGAAUUCCGGGUGUAGCGGUGAAAUGUGUAGAGAUCCGGAGGAACACCAGUGGUGCAAACGGCGCCCUGGGUCCGAACUGACGCUGAGGCACGAAAGCGUGGGGAGCGAACGGG